AUGCAAGUCGAGGGGCAGCAUGAUUGAAGCUUGCUUCAAUUGAUGGCGACCGGCGCACGGGUGAGUAACGCGUAUCCAACCUUCCGUACACUCAGGGAUAGCCUUUCGAAAGAAAGAUCAAUACCUGAUGGUAUGAUGAGAUUGCAUGAUAGCAUCAUUAAAGAUUUAUCGGUGUACGAUGGGGAUGCGUUCCAUUAGGUAGUAGGCGGGGUAACGGCCCACCUAGCCUACGAUGGAUAGGGGUUCUGAGAGGAAGGUCCCCCACAUUGGAACUGAGACACGGUCCAAACUCCUACGGGAGGCAGCAGUGAGGAAUAUUGGUCAAUGGACGAGAGUCUGAACCAGCCAAGUAGCGUGAAGGAUGAAGGUCUUACGGAUUGUAAACUUCUUUUAUAAGGGAAUAAAACCUCCCACGUGUGGGAGCUUGUAUGUACCUUAUGAAUAAGCAUCGGCUAACUCCGUGCCAGCAGCCGCGGUAAUACGGAGGAUGCGAGCGUUAUCCGGAUUUAUUGGGUUUAAAGGGAGCGCAGACGGGUCGUUAAGUCAGCUGUGAAAGUUUGGGGCUCAA
This 568-nucleotide ribosomal RNA is filed under the name uncultured bacterium. RNAcentral describes it as "bacterial SSU rRNA". It matches the Rfam family "Bacterial small subunit ribosomal RNA", at positions 55 to 612 of the family's 1533-position model. The record is from RNAcentral.